RNAcentral lists this ribosomal RNA (1554 nucleotides) under Salmonella enterica subsp. enterica serovar Senftenberg. RNAcentral describes it as "bacterial SSU rRNA". It matches the Rfam family "Bacterial small subunit ribosomal RNA". RNAcentral also lists the same sequence under 1 other name. The record is from RNAcentral. Lineage: Bacteria; Pseudomonadati; Pseudomonadota; Gammaproteobacteria; Enterobacterales; Enterobacteriaceae.
AAAUUGAAGAGUUUGAUCAUGGCUCAGAUUGAACGCUGGCGGCAGGCCUAACACAUGCAAGUCGAACGGUAACAGGAAGCAGCUUGCUGCUUUGCUGACGAGUGGCGGACGGGUGAGUAAUGUCUGGGAAACUGCCUGAUGGAGGGGGAUAACUACUGGAAACGGUGGCUAAUACCGCAUAACGUCGCAAGACCAAAGAGGGGGACCUUCGGGCCUCUUGCCAUCAGAUGUGCCCAGAUGGGAUUAGCUGGUUGGUGAGGUAACGGCUCACCAAGGCGACGAUCCCUAGCUGGUCUGAGAGGAUGACCAGCCACACUGGAACUGAGACACGGUCCAGACUCCUACGGGAGGCAGCAGUGGGGAAUAUUGCACAAUGGGCGCAAGCCUGAUGCAGCCAUGCCGCGUGUAUGAAGAAGGCCUUCGGGUUGUAAAGUACUUUCAGCGGGGAGGAAGGUGUUGUGGUUAAUAACCGCAGCAAUUGACGUUACCCGCAGAAGAAGCACCGGCUAACUCCGUGCCAGCAGCCGCGGUAAUACGGAGGGUGCAAGCGUUAAUCGGAAUUACUGGGCGUAAAGCGCACGCAGGCGGUCUGUCAAGUCGGAUGUGAAAUCCCCGGGCUCAACCUGGGAACUGCAUUCGAAACUGGCAGGCUUGAGUCUUGUAGAGGGGGGUAGAAUUCCAGGUGUAGCGGUGAAAUGCGUAGAGAUCUGGAGGAAUACCGGUGGCGAAGGCGGCCCCCUGGACAAAGACUGACGCUCAGGUGCGAAAGCGUGGGGAGCAAACAGGAUUAGAUACCCUGGUAGUCCACGCCGUAAACGAUGUCUACUUGGAGGUUGUGCCCUUGAGGCGUGGCUUCCGGAGCUAACGCGUUAAGUAGACCGCCUGGGGAGUACGGCCGCAAGGUUAAAACUCAAAUGAAUUGACGGGGGCCCGCACAAGCGGUGGAGCAUGUGGUUUAAUUCGAUGCAACGCGAAGAACCUUACCUGGUCUUGACAUCCACAGAAGAAUCCAGAGAUGGAUUUGUGCCUUCGGGAACUGUGAGACAGGUGCUGCAUGGCUGUCGUCAGCUCGUGUUGUGAAAUGUUGGGUUAAGUCCCGCAACGAGCGCAACCCUUAUCCUUUGUUGCCAGCGAUUAGGUCGGGAACUCAAAGGAGACUGCCAGUGAUAAACUGGAGGAAGGUGGGGAUGACGUCAAGUCAUCAUGGCCCUUACGACCAGGGCUACACACGUGCUACAAUGGCGCAUACAAAGAGAAGCGACCUCGCGAGAGCAAGCGGACCUCAUAAAGUGCGUCGUAGUCCGGAUUGGAGUCUGCAACUCGACUCCAUGAAGUCGGAAUCGCUAGUAAUCGUGGAUCAGAAUGCCACGGUGAAUACGUUCCCGGGCCUUGUACACACCGCCCGUCACACCAUGGGAGUGGGUUGCAAAAGAAGUAGGUAGCUUAACCUUCGGGAGGGCGCUUACCACUUUGUGAUUCAUGACUGGGGUGAAGUCGUAACAAGGUAACCGUAGGGGAACCUGCGGUUGGAUCACCUCCUUACCUGAAAGAAGC